RNAcentral lists this ribosomal RNA (1509 nucleotides) under Bacteroides fragilis. RNAcentral's name for it is "bacterial SSU rRNA". It matches the Rfam family "Bacterial small subunit ribosomal RNA". Lineage: Bacteria; Pseudomonadati; Bacteroidota; Bacteroidia; Bacteroidales; Bacteroidaceae. The record is from RNAcentral.
AGAGUUUGAUCCUGGCUCAGGAUGAACGCUAGCUACAGGCUUAACACAUGCAAGUCGAGGGGCAUCAGGAAGAAAGCUUGCUUUCUUUGCUGGCGACCGGCGCACGGGUGAGUAACACGUAUCCAACCUGCCCUUUACUCGGGGAUAGCCUUUCGAAAGAAAGAUUAAUACCCGAUAGCAUAAUGAUUCCGCAUGGUUUCAUUAUUAAAGGAUUCCGGUAAAGGAUGGGGAUGCGUUCCAUUAGGUUGUUGGUGAGGUAACGGCCCACCAAGCCUUCGAUGGAUAGGGGUUCUGAGAGGAAGGUCCCCCACAUUGGAACUGAGACACGGUCCAAACUCCUACGGGAGGCAGCAGUGAGGAAUAUUGGUCAAUGGGCGCUAGCCUGAACCAGCCAAGUAGCGUGAAGGAUGAAGGCUCUAUGGGUCGUAAACUUCUUUUAUAUAAGAAUAAAGUGCAGUAUGUAUACUGUUUUGUAUGUAUUAUAUGAAUAAGGAUCGGCUAACUCCGUGCCAGCAGCCGCGGUAAUACGGAGGAUCCGAGCGUUAUCCGGAUUUAUUGGGUUUAAAGGGAGCGUAGGUGGACUGGUAAGUCAGUUGUGAAAGUUUGCGGCUCAACCGUAAAAUUGCAGUUGAUACUGUCAGUCUUGAGUACAGUAGAGGUGGGCGGAAUUCGUGGUGUAGCGGUGAAAUGCUUAGAUAUCACGAAGAACUCCGAUUGCGAAGGCAGCUCACUGGACUGCAACUGACACUGAUGCUCGAAAGUGUGGGUAUCAAACAGGAUUAGAUACCCUGGUAGUCCACACAGUAAACGAUGAAUACUCGCUGUUUGCGAUAUACAGUAAGCGGCCAAGCGAAAGCAUUAAGUAUUCCACCUGGGGAGUACGCCGGCAACGGUGAAACUCAAAGGAAUUGACGGGGGCCCGCACAAGCGGAGGAACAUGUGGUUUAAUUCGAUGAUACGCGAGGAACCUUACCCGGGCUUAAAUUGCAGUGGAAUGAUGUGGAAACAUGUCAGUGAGCAAUCACCGCUGUGAAGGUGCUGCAUGGUUGUCGUCAGCUCGUGCCGUGAGGUGUCGGCUUAAGUGCCAUAACGAGCGCAACCCUUAUCUUUAGUUACUAACAGGUUAUGCUGAGGACUCUAGAGAGACUGCCGUCGUAAGAUGUGAGGAAGGUGGGGAUGACGUCAAAUCAGCACGGCCCUUACGUCCGGGGCUACACACGUGUUACAAUGGGGGGUACAGAAGGCAGCUAGCGGGUGACCGUAUGCUAAUCCCAAAAGCCUCUCUCAGUUCGGAUCGAAGUCUGCAACCCGACUUCGUGAAGCUGGAUUCGCUAGUAAUCGCGCAUCAGCCACGGCGCGGUGAAUACGUUCCCGGGCCUUGUACACACCGCCCGUCAAGCCAUGGGAGCCGGGGGUACCUGAAGUACGUAACCGCAAGGAUCGUCCUAGGGUAAAACUGGUGACUGGGGCUAAGUCGUAACAAGGUAGCCGUACCGGAAGGUGCGGCUG